This 232-nucleotide unclassified non-coding RNA is filed under the name uncultured fungus. RNAcentral describes it as "sequence contains ITS1, 5.8S rRNA gene". Lineage: Eukaryota; Fungi. The record is from RNAcentral.
UUUCCGUAGGGUAAGCUUAGUCCCAAUUUGUAUGCGACGAGUGCUAACGAAUGCAGUGAACCUGCGGAAGGAUCAUUACCGAGUUCUGGCUGUAAAGGCCGACUCCCACCCCAUGUCAACUACCUGUUGCUUCGGCGAGCCGACAGCUUUGCUGCCGUCGGUUUCCACGGGCGAGAGCUCGCCGAAGUUUUUACACGCUUCUUUGCAGUCUGAUUCAAAUGAGAAUUUUUAA